GCCAUCCCCAAGCUUUUUCCCACGCUCCUGCAACCACAGCAGAGAGAAGGGAUGCCAUUCGAGGUGCUCAGUAACCUCACCAAGCGGCCCUAAUGCUUCCACUCCGAGUUUCUGAGGAAUCUGAAGGCACUUCACCUUGAGGCUUGGCUGGUGGAAGCGAUCUUCGGAAGCCGAGUGUACGUCACAUGUCCUGCUUCGAGUGAAUCGGUGGGACCCAGAAAGCGAGGCUGAGAUCUUGAUAUUUGGGAGGCCUUAUUGCCAGAAGGACACAUUCAAGAUGAUCAUGAAUACUUGAUUGACUAUCACGACCAGCUCCAGGUGCAAGCCUCGGAAAAGGCCCUCGCCCAGGAUGUCGACACUCAGAAGGCUGAGACCCACCACUUUCCCAAAGCUGGCCAGGAGGCCAGGACCCAGCCAUCUCUGGAGGCUGCUGGGGAGAUCGGGACUCAGUGGUCUUCAAUCGCAGUCCGGGAGGCUGGGACCCAGCAGCCUCUGGUCGAGGUCAGGGAGGCCAGGACCCAGCAGUCUCUCGAGGCUGCCAGCGAGUGGGGGACCCAAUGUUCUCCCGAAGCUGCCAGCAAGGCAGGGAGUCAGUGAUUUCGCUUGGCCGGUGGUGAGGCUG
RNAcentral lists this long non-coding RNA (622 nucleotides) under Homo sapiens (human). Its description in RNAcentral is "non-protein coding lnc-NPY5R-8:1". The record is from RNAcentral. Lineage: Eukaryota; Metazoa; Chordata; Mammalia; Primates; Hominidae.